This 396-nucleotide ribosomal RNA is filed under the name uncultured bacterium. RNAcentral's name for it is "bacterial SSU rRNA". It matches the Rfam family "Bacterial small subunit ribosomal RNA", at positions 618 to 1008 of the family's 1533-position model. The record is from RNAcentral.
AAAGGUCAUUCGAAACUGCCGAACUAGAGUACUGGAGAGGAGAGCGGAAUUCUUGGAGUAGCGGUGAAAUGCGUAGAUAUCAAGAAGAACACCGGUGGCGAAGGCGGCUCUCUGGACAGUUACUGACGCUGAGGUACGAAAGCCGGGGGAGCGAAGAGGAUUAGAUACCCUCGUAGUCCCGGCAGUAAACGAUGUGCACUUGGUGUGGGAAGGAGUUAUCCCCUUUCCGUACCGGAGUUAACGCGUUAAGUGCACCGCCUGGGGAGUACGGCCGCAAGGCUUAAACUCAAAGGAAUUGACGGGGGCCCGCACAAGCGGUGGAGCAUGUGGCUUAAUUCGAUGCAACGCGAAGAACCUUACCUGGGUUUGACAUGCCCGUCGUAUUCCCCUUAAAGG